CCUACGGGGGGCUGCAGUGGGGAAUAUUGGACAAUGGGGGCAACCCUGAUCCAGCCAUGCCGCGUGUGUGAAGAAGGCCCUCGGGUUGUAAAGCACUUUCAGUGAGGAAGAACGCCUGGUGGUUAAUACCCAUCAGGAAAGACAUCACUCACAGAAGAAGCACCUGCUAACUCCGUGCCAGCAGCCGCGGUAAUACGGAGGGUGCGAGCGUUAAUCGGAAUUACUGGGCGUAAAGCGCGCGUAGGUGGCUUGAUAAGCCGGUUGUGAAAGCCCCGGGCUCAACCUGGGAACGGCAUCCGGAACUGUCAAGCUAGAGUGCAGGAGAGGAAGGUAGAAUUCCCGGUGUAGCGGUGAAAUGCGUAGAGAUCGGGAGGAAUACCAGUGGCGAAGGCGGCCUUCUGGACUGACACUGACACUGAGGUGCGAAAGCGUGGGUAGCAAACAGGAUUAGAUACCCCAGUAGUC
This 465-nucleotide ribosomal RNA is filed under the name Vreelandella stevensii. RNAcentral's name for it is "partial 16S ribosomal RNA". It matches the Rfam family "Bacterial small subunit ribosomal RNA", at positions 338 to 795 of the family's 1533-position model. The record is from RNAcentral. Lineage: Bacteria; Pseudomonadati; Pseudomonadota; Gammaproteobacteria; Oceanospirillales; Halomonadaceae.